RNAcentral lists this ribosomal RNA (450 nucleotides) under uncultured bacterium. Its description in RNAcentral is "partial 16S ribosomal RNA". It matches the Rfam family "Bacterial small subunit ribosomal RNA", at positions 354 to 796 of the family's 1533-position model. The record is from RNAcentral.
GUGGGGAAUUUUGGACAAUGGGCGCAAGCCUGAUCCAGCCAUGCCGCGUGCAGGAUGAAGGCCUUCGGGUUGUAAACUGCUUUUGUACGGAACGAAAAGACUCUUUCUAAUAAAGAGAGUUCAUGACGGUACCGUAAGAAUAAGCACCGGCUAACUACGUGCCAGCAGCCGCGGUAAUACGUAGGGUGCGAGCGUUAAUCGGAAUUACUGGGCGUAAAGCGUGCGCAGGCGGUGAUGUAAGACAGAUGUGAAAUCCCCGGGCUCAACCUGGGGACUGCAUUUGUGACUGCAUCGCUGGAGUGCGGCAGAGGGGGAUGGAAUUCCGCGUGUAGCAGUGAAAUGCGUAGAUAUGCGGAGGAACACCGAUGGCGAAGGCAAUCCCCUGGGCCUGCACUGACGCUCAUGCACGAAAGCGUGGGGAGCAAACAGGAUUAGAAACCCGUGUAGUCC